RNAcentral lists this ribosomal RNA (500 nucleotides) under uncultured bacterium. RNAcentral describes it as "bacterial SSU rRNA". It matches the Rfam family "Bacterial small subunit ribosomal RNA", at positions 26 to 518 of the family's 1533-position model. The record is from RNAcentral.
CUAGGAUGAACGCUAGCGACAGGCCUAACACAUGCAAGUCGAGGGGCAGCGCGGGAGAAGCUUGCUUUCCUGGCGGCGACCGGCGCACGGGUGCGUAACAGGUGUGCAAUCUGUCCAUAGUCGGGGGAUAGCCCAGCGAAAGCUGAAUUAAUACUCCAUGUGAAUCGAAGCCGCAUGACUUUGAUUUGAAACGCAAGGACUAUGGGUGAGCACGCUUCUGAUUAGGUAGUUGGUGGGGUAACGGCCCACCAAGCCGACGAUCAGUAGGGGUUCUGAGAGGAAGGUCCCCCACAUUGGAACUGAGACACGGUCCAAACUCCUACGGGAGGCAGCAGUGAGGAAUAUUGGUCAAUGGGCGAGAGCCUGAACCAGCCAAGUCGCGUGAAGGAUGAAGGUUCUAUGGAUUGUAAACUUCUUUUGUCCGAGGGUAAAAAGGCCACGUGUGGCUUCUUGCAAGUAUCGGACGAAUAAGCAUCGGCUAACUCCGUGCCAGCCGCCGC